GGCGCACGGGUGAGUAACGCGUGGGAAUUUACCUAGCAGUGGGGAAUAACAGUUGGAAACGACUGCUAAUACCGCAUACGCCCUUAGGGGGAAAGAUUUAUCGCUGUUAGAUAGGCCCGCGUUGGAUUAGUUAGUUGGUGAGGUCAAGGCUCACCAAGACGAUGAUCCAUAGCUGGUUCGAGAGGAUGAUCAGCCACACUGGAACUGAGACACGGUCCAGACUCC
This 225-nucleotide ribosomal RNA is filed under the name uncultured bacterium. RNAcentral's name for it is "partial 16S ribosomal RNA". It matches the Rfam family "Bacterial small subunit ribosomal RNA", at positions 97 to 339 of the family's 1533-position model. The record is from RNAcentral.